Molecule: ribosomal RNA, 253 nt
Filed under: uncultured bacterium
Lineage: Bacteria
Description: partial 16S ribosomal RNA
Rfam family: Bacterial small subunit ribosomal RNA
Source: RNAcentral
UACGUAGGGGGCUAGCGUUGUCCGGAAUCAUUGGGCGUAAAGCGCGUGUAGGCGGUCCGGUAAGUCCGCUGUGAAAGUCGGGGGCUCAACCCUCGAAUGCCGGUGGAUACUGUCGGGCUAGAGUGCGGAAGAGGCGAGUGGAAUUCCUGGUGUAGCGGUGAAAUGCGUAGAUAUUGGGAGGAACACCAGUGGCGAAGGCGGCUCACUGGACCGGAACUGACGCUGAGGCGCGAAAGCGUGGGGAGCAAACAGG